Molecule: non-coding RNA, 27 nt
Filed under: Homo sapiens (human)
Lineage: Eukaryota; Metazoa; Chordata; Mammalia; Primates; Hominidae
Source: RNAcentral
UCAUGGUGGUCAGUACAGUUUGGUUUC